UAUAUAAGGUAUUUAUUUUUAUAAUAAAUUUAUAGUUUUUAUUAAAAAUAAUUUUGGUUUUAGUAUUUUUAUUAAAAAAAAGUUUUUUAAUUAUAGUGGAAUUUACUGUAAGGGAUUAUUAUAUUGUAUUUUAAUAGUAGUAUUUAUUUAUGUACCUUUUGUAUCAGGGUUGAUUAAUUUAUUAAUUGUAUAAUAUUAUCCCGAAAUAUAAGUAGCUAAAAUUAAAUGUUGUUUGUUGUGUUAAAACUAUUAAAAAUUUAAUUUUAGUAAUGAAAUGUUAUCGUCUUUUAUUAUAUCUGGUUUUUUGAGAAUUAAAUUUAAUUUAGAUAUUAAUUUUAUAAUGAAUUUAAUUAAAUUAAUAUUAAAAUUUUAGGGGAUUAUCUUUAAAAUUUUUUAUAACUUUUGUAUGUUAAAAAAAUGUAUGCUUGGAAUCAGCAAUCUUUAAUUUCGUUAAAGAAUAUUUUUGUGUAAUUUUUAUUUUUUACUGUUUAAAUUUAUAUUGAAAAAAGUUAUAUAAUUUUAAAAUAACUAUUAUAAUGAUUAAAUUAGUAAAUUUGUUAAUUAAUUUAUAGGAACUUGGCAAAAUUAGUGCUUGCUUGUUUAACAAAAACAUGUCCUAUUGAUUAUAAUUUUAGGUCUAACCUGCCCUAUGAUUUAUUAAAUGGCCGCAGUAUUUUAACUGUGCAAAGGUAGCAUAAUAAUUUGUCUUUUAAUUGAAGGCUGGAAUGAAUGGUUUGACAAGGCACUAACUUUCUUUAUUUUAUUAUUUGAAUUUAAUUUUUUAGUUAAAAAGCUAAAAUUUAUUUAAAAGACGAGAAGACCCUAUAGAUUUUGUAUAUGUUAUAUUGUAUAUUUAUGUUCAUACAGUAUAAUGUAUUUGGUUGGGGUGACUAUAGAAUAUAACUAACUUCUAUUUUUUAUUACAUUAAUUAGUGUAACAUUGAUCCAGUAAUAUUGAUUAUAAGAUUAAGUUACCUUAGGGAUAACAGCGUAAUUUAUUCAAAGAGUUCUUAUCGAUGAAUAAGAUUGCGACCUCGAUGUUGGAUUAAAAUAAGUUUUUGGUGUAGGAGCUACAAAACUAGGUCUGUUCGACCUUUAAUAUUUUACAUGAUCUGAGUUCAGACCGGCGUGAGCCAGGUCAGUUUCUAUCUUUAAUGAAGGAUACUUAUUAGUACGAAAGGACCAUAUGUAUUAAAUAAUUUAAUUUUAUUGAUUAAUUUU
Molecule: ribosomal RNA, 1221 nt
Filed under: Ischnobaenella hainana
Lineage: Eukaryota; Metazoa; Arthropoda; Insecta; Hemiptera; Reduviidae
Description: 16S ribosomal RNA
Rfam family: Archaeal large subunit ribosomal RNA (bases 805-1155)
Source: RNAcentral